AUUGAACGCUGGCGGAAUGCUUUACACAUGCAAGUCGAACGGCAGCACGGACUUCGGUCUGGUGGCGAGUGGCGAACGGGUGAGUAAUGUAUCGGAACGUGCCCAGUCGUGGGGGAUAACGUAGUGAAAAUUACGCCAAUACCGCAUACGAUCUAUGGAUGAAAGCGGGGGAUCGCAAGACCUCGCGCGAUUGGAGCGGCCGAUAUCAGAUUAGGUAGUUGGUGGGGUAAAGGCCCACCAAGCCAACGAUCUAUAGCUGGUCUGAGAGGACGACCAGCCCCACUGGAACUGCGACACGGUCCAGAGUCCUACGGGAGGCAGCAGUGGGGAAUUUUGGACAAUGGGCGAAAGCCUGAUCCAGCCAUUCCGCGUGCAGGAUGAAGGCCCUCGGGUUGUAAACUGCUUUUGUACAGAACGAAAAGGUUUCUACUAAUACUAGGAGCUCAUGACGGUACUGUAAGAAUAAGCAUCGGCUAACUACGUGCCAGCCGCCGCCGUAA
RNAcentral lists this ribosomal RNA (500 nucleotides) under uncultured bacterium. RNAcentral describes it as "partial 16S ribosomal RNA". It matches the Rfam family "Bacterial small subunit ribosomal RNA", at positions 30 to 523 of the family's 1533-position model. The record is from RNAcentral.